RNAcentral lists this ribosomal RNA (237 nucleotides) under uncultured bacterium. RNAcentral describes it as "partial 16S ribosomal RNA". It matches the Rfam family "Bacterial small subunit ribosomal RNA", at positions 96 to 334 of the family's 1533-position model. The record is from RNAcentral.
CGGCGGACGGGUGAGUAACGCGUGGGUAACCUGCCUCAUACAGGGGGAUAACAGUUAGAAAUGACUGCUAAUACCGCAUAAGACCACAGCACCGCAUGGUGCGGGGUAAAAACUCCGGUGGUAUGAGAUGGACCCGCGUCUGAUUAGCUAGUUGGUAAGGUAACGGCUUACCAAGGCGACGAUCAGUAGCCGGCCUGAGAGGGUGACCGGCCACAUUGGGACUGAGACACGGCCCAA